Triticum dicoccoides is the source of this 4624-nucleotide long non-coding RNA. RefSeq lists it as uncharacterized. The record is from RefSeq and is a predicted model, not a curated record. The transcript is spliced from 7 exons. NCBI's taxonomy places the organism in Eukaryota, Viridiplantae, Streptophyta, Magnoliopsida, Poales, Poaceae.
UGCUCCGAUCGGAUCGGGAGCAGGAAGACAGCGGUGAGCACAUAAAGGGCGCGGGCGGCACACUGCCCGGCCAAGAGGAGGAGCAGGAGGGGAGGCGAUGAGGCGGGGCCGUAAGCGUCGGACGCGCUCGCUCGCCUGCAAUCAAAGCGGACGCAGCGGCCGUCCAUGGCGGCUCGGGUCGAUGCAUGAGGACGAUGGGAGGAGCUCGCGAGGGCCGGCACCGGGAAUGGAGUGGAGGCGGGUGGAUCUGGCGAUUCCGCAGGGGCUGCGGCGACGAGCGGCUCCGUGGGCGGCGACCUGCAGGGUUCAAGCGACGGCUGCCAUGAAGGUUGGGCGGUUGCUCUCUGUAGAGAAGGAAUAGAAGGAGAGGAAGAAGGCAGGUCACUCAAAAAGCAUCCACUUCCUGCCCCCUCUCUCCUCUAGCAUGCCAUGAUGUGCGCGGCUGGACGUGUGAUGUGCGUCCAUGUUCAUGUGAUCUUCAAGACAGUAGGGACCAAUUGCACCCUUGCUUCUGUUUCUGUCCUAUGAACCAAUCUGAGAUGGCCACUAAGAAGCACUUGGCUGGUACAGUGAAAUUUUCUGUAGUCUUCAAAUAAAACAUGCUAAUCUUCUAGGAUGUGCUUUUUCGAGCAGGAAGGGGAGGUGAUGUGCGCAAGGUACGUCGUCGAGGAAGUGAACACCAGUUUCAGCUAUAUAGUGUUUUGUGGUGAAUGAGAAUGUUUCAUAGUUUAUUAUUAAUCUAAAUUUUGGUUUUACGCUUUUGCUUCACACAGAUAUUGUUGAGUAACUUUUUUCCAAACUAUGUACUAUACAUGUGGAUUUUUUUGCGGGGAUACUGUAUGUCCACUUCUGAGUACAAAUUCUAAAUUCGUAUAUGAAACCUGAAUUCAACUCCUACCAUACAAAACUAAUUUUGUGGUUUAGUUGUUUAAGAGCUCAAAUAGGAUGUCUACUGGAACCUCAAGGAAAACGAAAAGAAGUGCAGGAGCAGGAGCUGGAGACGCAGCCGCACAAGGUCGAACCGGCCACAUAGAUCAUUUUCUUCUGCAACUAUGACAACUACAGCAAGACCUUUGUUGAUGUGGCUGCCUUGAGGAAGCAUGCUCAUGUACAUGGCGAGAGGGGAUGUAUGUUUUUUAGUAGCCCGGCUAUUGGAAGUAAUUUCAGGCUUUUUAUAAAGGACCUUUCUCUGUUUGGCAUAGAUUAAUGAUUUUGGUACAUCCAUCCAUCCAAUCCACAUGCCGCUGAUGAACAAAUAGUGAUCCAGUUUGGUCGGAGUAGAUAUAAGUUUGGUCUCUGCUCGAGCUCCUGCUGCUGCUUGGAUUUUCCUUUUCCCCUCUCAUCCAACCGUGGGUACCAUCUGACCCAUUUUCUUUUCGUGGUUGAUUGGUGCUAAUUGAUUUCAUCAUAUGGCCAAUGUUUCUUGGUUAGGGGCCUGUUAUUUUUUUUUGAGCUUGACGAUGCCGUGGUCGCCCAGCCGAUCAAAUCCUUGCGCACACACAACAACUCAACUCCACGGUCUGCACACAACAGCUCAACACCACGGUUUGUACGCCACAGCCGCCGCUUGAGCAGCUCGAUGGGCAAUUUAUGUUAUGUACCUCUAUAUGAUAAUCCCUCCAUAGCUAUCUAGAAAAGGUUUCGAUUUGAAUUUGGUUAAGUUUAGUUUAGCGUGGUGAUGCUUACCCUAAUAAGUUGGUGUGUUGUUAUACUGUAUUGAAUAAAUGGUGGGCACUGAAUUUUCCAUGGAUUCAGCAGAGGAGAAGAAUCUCACCUACUUGCUAGCUUCCCAAAUGCAGUAAGCAAUGAAUACUUUCCAAAUGAAAUAGUGAAGACGCUCAUUUUCAGAGCAGAUGCACUCACAUGUGUCUUGAAUCAUUUAAUUUCUUUGUUUCGUGAAUAAAUGUUGGUUGGUGCUCUUGCUCUUUUACCAUGGUAACUUUGUAAACUUCAGAAUGCCUAAAGUUGGUUGCACACUCACUCGCUCAGCAAUGAGCAGUGAAGUCGCCAGCUUUGCCGUUGGCUGAAGAACAACAAGGUCUUCGUUGCAUGAUUAUUAGUUUGUUAAAUAUUUGUACAACAUCAAAGUACUUUUUAGUUGCAGAUUUGGCAAUACCUAGGACCUUAUGUUCCUCCAGUUCGGGGGCGGUUUAAAAGGCAGCUGUUCGAAACAUGAACGAAAAUGACUGUAGGUGGCAUACGUAUGGUACAGUCGAAGGACGUGAUUGGCUGGUAAGUUUAUGUGAGAAAUAGUUUAAGAAAUUGCAUGGAAGAUGUUUUAAGUUUACAUUGAAAUAAAGGGCGUGGACCUGUGCGUUGGGAUUGGGUGCUUUUUGUUUUCCGGUUGCAAUGCACAGGCACGUUUAUGUAUACUAGUAAUAAUAAAGCACGGGUUGAGUCUGUCGGGUUCACCGUCACUGUGUUUUUACGAAAAGGUCCCUAUUGUUUUGGGUAUUCAACCCGCAGUCCUCGUGAUAAGUCAAUCGAACCACUACACAUGAGAGAAAAGGAAAAAAAAGACACCCUCACGAGUCACGAACCUGCCUCCCGAUCCCAUCUUCAUCUCCAUCUCGCCGCCGCCUCGCCCCUCCCCGCGCCGCUGCCUCCUGCCACGCCUUGCCCCUCCCCGCGCUGCCGCGUCCUGCCACGCCCAGCCCGGCGCCGCCGCGCGCCGCCGCCUCCUACCCCGUCGGCGCGCCUACUCUUACCCCAAGUGCCCCCAUACCCGCGGCCUCCCACCGCCGGCAACAAUCGAUGAUGCGGCUGAUGACGGCUCCCCCUACCUACCACCGCUGGGAUUCCUCCCCGUUGCUUCCACCUCAACAAUGGUUACCACAACCCCGCCGGCUUCGCCACCAGCCACUCCUUCAUCCACACAAAUCAUAGGAGACAGUUGCAUGGGAGAUCCUACGAGCAUGGCCUCGACGGCACUGGCAGUGGAAGUACGCGGGUGAUUGGCGCUUGGAAGGUCGCGGUUGAGGCAUGAGGACGGCAGCAGCGGCAGUCAAAAUCUUCAUGAAGUUUUUCCGCUUACCCUCCCCCGGUCUGAUUUCUCUCCAAUCUUUGAAUCCCCUCGGUUUGAACUAAUGCCAUGUAUUUUCAGAACAAUUAGUGAAUCAAUUGUUAGUUGAAAGAUGGUUGAUGCACCGAAAAAGAUUGUAUUGAUUCAAUCUAGAAAAGUCAAGAUCACAAUUGCAAUUAAAUAUACAUUUGUUGAGCCAAAAGUAGCAGUUACAUAUGCAUUUGGUCAAUCUUUUGGCCUCUCUCUUCAUGCAUUAUGAUUGCCAUCUUGAGAAAAAAAAUGGAAAAACAUGUAAAGCUGUAUGAGUUUUUUAUGUUUGCAAUUUUUAGUUUUGGGGGGAAUUAAUGGAUCCACUCGGCUUGCCCUUGAAUCCAACUGUUUUUAGUUUUUAGUGUCCAGGAAAAAUUCUUGAGAUGAUGGAAACGAAUUUCCCUCUCAAGAAAAGGUGGAAUACGAAUGGGAUGGAAAGCUAGAGCUGGAGCAGGUAGAGCAUGGUGGAGGGUCUGCUUCUACCUCUCUAGCCUCUCGACUGGAUCAUAUAUGUUUUGCGGCUUCGCGGCUCCAUUAAUGGCAGUAGGGCGCUUGUGUCAUCCAUGUCUGAUUCGUGCAACCAUCAUCUGUAGCAUUUGCUGGAGCCAUCAUCCCAAACAGUUUCACUGAUUCUCAGAAAACAUAAACAUGUACAUGCUACUCAUUGCGAGAGGAUAUAAGGAUUUCUGCUAUUAUAAUGAUAGAAUGACAGCAGCACCUCAAGCAUGUAACUGUGGAAGUUAGUCUUUGUUACCUAACUUGAAUGUUAUUGUAACCAUAAAUAUGUCCUAAGAAUUCGGGUAAGAAUGAUGCAUGUAAUUGUUGAAUGUCUACAGACGUAGCUCUCUUAAUCCUGCAAAAGUUAGUCAUAAAGGUGAGUAAGAUUAUUGUAAUUUCACUUUUCUCUAAAGAUGCUUAUCCUAUUUACUAUAUGUUUCUUUGACCUAUCAACGGAAGUGUAUGAAUUCAUUAAGUUCUCUUCGCAAGGUGUUUUCUUGCGAUACGUCACAAGCUGGUAGCUUGUAAGAGAAUGAUCAGUUCAGUAACUUUUAGUUACGAUGCCUGCAACAUUGGGAUUUAUAUACAAUGUUCUUUAUCCUUCCAUACUUAUAUGGUUCACGCAGAUUAUGGACACCCAAUACUAUUCACAAAUAACGCUCUAAUAUUGUCGUUCAACAUUUCCCAUGGAAAACAGGAGGAUUUCAAUUUGCUAGGGCUCAUAGAAUGUCACAAGAAAGAUGAUUUUUGGAUUAAACUUGAUAUCGAUCAGACUGGUUUAUAUAAAGUGAUGAUGAGGAACUUGCAUCACGACUUAGGCAUGCAGUUGAAACCAACACACUUGAGUGCAAUAGACAGAUAUGGUGUACUUGAUGACACAUAUGCCCUCUGUAUGGCUGGUAAAUAGAAGGUGGUCAUGUUGCUGCAUUUGAUUGUUCCGUACAAGACUGAGACUGAGUAUUCUGUGCUUGCCACAUGCCAUCAACAUACUACUCUUCCCAUUCUAAUUAAUUUUUUAUGUUCCUAAACUUGAUUUUGUUCUUGCCUUUAUAGACAAGCCUGAGCAUAUUUGAG